This 30-nucleotide non-coding RNA is filed under the name Mus musculus (house mouse). The record is from RNAcentral. Lineage: Eukaryota; Metazoa; Chordata; Mammalia; Rodentia; Muridae.
CUUGAAUGUAGUAUCGAAAUCAGUUCAUGA